CAGUAGCCGCGGGAAAACGAGGGGGGCAAGCGUUGUUCGGAAUUAUUGGGCGUAAAGCGUGCGUAGGCGGUUCGUUAAGUCUGUUGUGAAAGCCCCGGACUCAACCUGGGAAUGGCAAUGGAUACUGGCGAGCUAGAGUGUGUCAGAGGAUGGUGGAAUUCCCGGUGUAGCGGUGAAAUGCGUAGAGAUCGGGAGGAACAUCAGUGGCGAAGGCGGCCAUCUGGGACAACACUGACGCUGAGGCACGAAAGCGUGGGGAGCAAACAGGAUUAGAUACCCCAGUAGUCCCUGUCUCUUAUAC
This 301-nucleotide ribosomal RNA is filed under the name uncultured bacterium. RNAcentral describes it as "partial 16S ribosomal RNA". It matches the Rfam family "Bacterial small subunit ribosomal RNA", at positions 509 to 807 of the family's 1533-position model. The record is from RNAcentral.